Molecule: ribosomal RNA, 375 nt
Filed under: uncultured soil bacterium
Lineage: Bacteria
Description: bacterial SSU rRNA
Rfam family: Bacterial small subunit ribosomal RNA
Source: RNAcentral
AGAACGCCGUGGAAACACGGAACUCUUUGGACACUCCAUCACAGGUGGUGCAUGGCUGUCGUCAGCUCGUGUCGUGAGAUGUUGGGUUAAGUCCCGCAACGAGCGCAACCCUUGUCAUUAGUUGCUACGAAAGGGCACUCUAAUGAGACUGCCGGUGACAAACCGGAGGAAGGUGGGGAUGACGUCAAGUCCUCAUGGCCCUUAUGGGUAGGGCUUCACACGUCAUACAAUGGUCGGUACAGAGGGUUGCCAAGCCGCGAGGUGGAGCCAAUCCCAGAAAACCGAUCGUAGUCCGGAUCGCAGUCUGCAACUCGACUGCGUGAAGUCGGAAUCGCUAGUAAUCGCGGAUCAGAAUGCCGCGGUGAAUACGUUCCC